UAAGGCAGUGGUAGCGCUGAAGAAUAUUCGUGCAAUUGUCGUUAUUCAUUAUAAAAGGGCGGGUUUUAAAGGAUAUUUUAAAAUUUAAAACAAGCUUUUAAGAGCAGAUGGCGGAUGCCUUGCCAAAGAGAGGCGAUGAAGGACGUACUAGACUGCGAUAAGCUAUGCGGAGCUGUCAAGGAGCUUUGAUGCGUAGAUGUCCGAAUGGGGCAACCCAACUAAUAGAGAUAUUGGUUACUCUAAUUUAGAGAGCGAACCUAGUGAAGUGAAACAUCUCAGUAACUAGAGGAAAAGAAAUCAACGAGAUUCCCUAAGUAGUGGCGAGCGAACGGGGAAAAGGGCAAACCGAGUGCUUGCAUUCGGGGUUGAGGACUGCAACAUCCAAGAAAACGCUUUAGCAGAGUUACCUGGAAAGGUAAGCCAUAGAAAGUGAUAGCCUUGUAUGCGACAAGGCGUUUUUAGGUAGCAGGAUCCAGAGUAGGCCAGGACACGAGAAAUCCAGGUUGAAGCCGGGGAGACCACUCUCCAACCCUAAAUACUACUCUUUGAGCGAUAGCGAACAAGUACCGUGAGGGAAAGGUGAAAAGAACCGCAGUGAGCGGAGUGAAAUAGAACCUGAAACCAUCUGCUUACAAUCAUUCAGAGCCCUAUGAUUUAUCAGGGUGAUGGACUGCCUUUUGCAUAAUGAUCCUGCGAGUUGUGGUAUCUGGCAAGGUUAAGCGAAUGCGAAGCCGUAGCGAAAGCGAGUCUUAAUAGGGCGGUUAAGUCAGAUGCUGCAGACCCGAAGCUAAGUGAUCUAUCCAUGGCCAAGUUGAAACGCGUGUAAUAGCGCGUGGAGGACUGAACUCGUACCCAUUGAAACGGGUUGGGAUGAGCUGUGGAUAGGGGUGAAAGGCCAAACAAACUUAGUGAUAGCUGGUUCUCUUCGAAAUAUAUUUAGGUAUAGCCUCAAGUGAUAAUAAAAGGGGGUAGAGCCCUGAUUGGGCUAGGGCUGCUCGCCGCGGUACCAAACCCUAUCAAACUUCGAAUACCUUUUAUCGUAUCUUGGGAGUCAGGCGGUGGGUGAUAAAAUCAAUCGUCAAAAGGGGAACAACCCAGACUACCAAAUAAGGUCCCUAAGUUCUAUUCUGAGUGGAAAAAGAUGUGUGGCUACUCAAACAACCAGGAGGUUGGCUUAGAAGCAGCCAUCCUUUAAAGAAAGCGUAACAGCUCACUGGUCUAGUGGUCAUGCGCUGAAAAUAUAACGGGGCUAAGAUAGACACCGAAUUUGUAGAUUGUGUUAAACACAGUGGUAGAAGAGCGUUCAUACCAGCGUUGAAGGUAUACCGGUAAGGAGUGCUGGAGCGGUAUGAAGUGAGCAUGCAGGAAUGAGUAACGAUAAGAUAUAUGAGAAUUGUAUCCGCCGUAAAUCUAAGGUUUCCUACGCGAUGGUCGUCAUCGUAGGGUUAGUCGGGUCCUAAGCCGAGUCCGAAAGGGGUAGGUGAUGGCAAAUUGGUUAAUAUUCCAAUACCGACUAUGGAGCGUGAUGGGGGGACGCAUAGGGUUAAGCGAGCUAGCUGAUGGAAUAGCUAGUCUAAGGGCGUAGAUUGGAGGGAAGGCAAAUCCACCUCUGUAUUUGAAACCCAAACAGGCUCUUUGAGUCCUUUUAGGACAAAGGGAGAAUCGCUGAUACCGUCGUGCCAAGAAAAGCCUCUAAGCAUAUCCAUAGUCGUCCGUACCGCAAACCGACACAGGUAGAUGAGAUGAGUAUUCUAAGGCGCGUGAAAGAACUCUGGUUAAGGAACUCUGCAAACUAGCACCGUAAGUUCGCGAUAAGGUGUGCCGCAGCAAUGCGGUCUCAGCAAAGAGUCCCUCCCGACUGUUUACCAAAAACACAGCACUUUGCCAACUCGUAAGAGGAAGUAUAAGGUGUGACGCCUGCCCGGUGCUCGAAGGUUAAGAGGAUGCGUCAGUCGCAAGAUGAAGCGUUGAAUUGAAGCCCGAGUAAACGGCGGCCGUAACUAUAACGGUCCUAAGGUAGCGAAAUUCCUUGUCGGUUAAAUACCGACCUGCAUGAAUGGCGUAACGAGAUGGGAGCUGUCUCAACCAGAGAUUCAGUGAAAUUGUAGUGGAGGUGAAAAUUCCUCCUACCCGCGGCAAGACGGAAAGACCCCGUGGACCUUUACUACAACUUAGCACUGCUAACGGGAAUAUCAUGCGCAGGAUAGGUGGGAGGCUUUGAAGUAAGGGCUUUGGCUCUUAUGGAGC
This 2247-nucleotide ribosomal RNA is filed under the name Helicobacter pylori. Its description in RNAcentral is "bacterial LSU rRNA". It matches the Rfam family "Bacterial large subunit ribosomal RNA", at positions 1 to 2186 of the family's 2925-position model. The record is from RNAcentral. Lineage: Bacteria; Pseudomonadati; Campylobacterota; Epsilonproteobacteria; Campylobacterales; Helicobacteraceae.